UACGUAGGGUGCGAGCGUCGUCCGGAAUUAUUGGGCGUAAAGAGCUUGUAGGCGGUUUGUCGCGUCUGCUGUGAAAAUCCGGGGCUCAACCCCGGACUUGCAGUGGGUACGGGCAGACUAGAGUGUGGUAGGGGAGACUGGAAUUCCUGGUGUAGCGGUGAAAUGCGCAGAUAUCAGGAGGAACACCGGUGGCGAAGGCGGGUCUCUGGGCCGAUACUGACGCUGAGGAGCGAAAGCGUGGGGAGCGAACAGG
RNAcentral lists this ribosomal RNA (253 nucleotides) under uncultured bacterium. RNAcentral describes it as "partial 16S ribosomal RNA". It matches the Rfam family "Bacterial small subunit ribosomal RNA", at positions 524 to 776 of the family's 1533-position model. The record is from RNAcentral.